UACGGAGGAUGCAAGCGUUGUUCGGAAUCACUGGGCGUAAAGGGAGCGUAGGCGGCGUGGUAAGUCAGAUGUGAAAUCCCGGGGCUCAACCCCGGAACUGCAUCCGAUACUGCCGUGCUUGAGGGAUGGAGAGGUAGCUGGAAUUCACGGUGUAGCAGUGAAAUGCGUGGAUAUCGUGAGGAACACUCGUGGCGAAAGCGAGCUACUGGACAUUUACUGACGCUGAGGCUCGAAGGCCAGGGUAGCGAAAGGG
RNAcentral lists this ribosomal RNA (253 nucleotides) under uncultured bacterium. Its description in RNAcentral is "partial 16S ribosomal RNA". It matches the Rfam family "Bacterial small subunit ribosomal RNA", at positions 524 to 776 of the family's 1533-position model. The record is from RNAcentral.